Molecule: long non-coding RNA, 5066 nt
Filed under: Homo sapiens (human)
Lineage: Eukaryota; Metazoa; Chordata; Mammalia; Primates; Hominidae
Description: non-protein coding LINC00894:41
Source: RNAcentral
CGUACGCACGCACUUGCCACAAGGAGACGCUGUUCAGUUUACCGGAUCCUGUCCCGCGCCAGCCAACCAGGACAAGGCCGGGGAGCUCGAGACAGGCAGCCUAGACCAAGAACCGGAAGGAGGAAAAGGAACCGGAGGGAGGAAGAGGAGGGGCGGGACGAGACCACCAGGCAAGAGUCCAAACUUUCCCGCGGCGACCUAACUGCACCUCCAGUGUCUUCCCCCAGAGGGCACAGAAGCAGCAAGAAGGGCGGGAACACUUGACUGGGGUCCAUGCAGCUCUAGGCUGAGUCUUGCAGGGCUGAGCCCCCCAGGCCUGCUCUCCUGUGUCCUGGCCGCUCCGUCAGUGCCUGCCAGUGGGGUCCAGAGGGACCGUUUUUUUAACGCCUCUUUUGCAGUCUCCCGCAUUGACUUCAUAACCAAGUUCUGGGUCCCUGCCUCUGGAGUGCCUGAUGAGACAAAACGGCUCCUCGUCCUGCAUCCCCGCUGCUACUUCCAGAAUUCAGGCCUCGUGGUCUGGAGCCUGCACUGUUCCAUGAGCCUCCUGAGCAACCUGGAGUCCUCUGUCUUUCUUCCCUCAGUGAGAUGCGCCUACUUCUCCCUGGAGAAGCUUGAGGAAGCAGAAAUGCUGGAGAUGAGGUGAGGAGGAGAGGGUCCCUCUUUAUGGGAUGUAGGCCGUAGGGCUGCAGGGGACCUUCAGAUCACCAGUUCCAAGUCCUAUGUAUGCUAGCAUCCCCUCCUGGGUUCCUUCCCCACAAGAAUGGUUGCCAGCUUCUGCCGAACACCCCAGAAUCUGCUUAGAGUGGUUUCAGAUCAUGAAUGAGGAUCCCCGGGAUGGUGGGUGGCCGUUGCUCCUCCCGUGGCCUCUUGUUUGAAGAACUAGAACUCGCAUAAUGAGCUGGAUAGCCACCGUGUGGCUGCUAGCAGGGAAGCCCUUGGUGGCCACAUAAGGGCUCCCUUUUCCAACUCUCUCAGCUGCUCCUCACUCUCACUCCUGGGUGUGCUGGGCAGUGGGGUGCAAUGUGCACGUAGGUGCACACUCUCCCUGGGCGGCAGCGAGCAGCAGAGGUCUGAUCUGUGGUCGGAUGACGAGAGGAAGUGCAAGUAAAGCAGCUGCAGCGAGACCUCGUCCGCACAGGGGCUUGUUCUUCUGUGUCUUUGCAGGGCUGUUUUGGACUCAGUAUUCACCUAAGCACUCCAAAUUGGUCGUGCGGAUGUGCGAUGUAGGAGGAGGAGAGAGGUAAAGUGGAGGAAUAGGAGCUGGAGGGGAGGAGGAGAGAAGAAAAGAGGAGAAGGAGGGGGAAGAGAGGGAGCGGGUUCAAGGAGGGAAGGAGGAGGAGAAGGAGAGGAGGAGGAGAUGAGACCAAGGAGAAGAGGUGAAGGAGGAGAGGAGGACACAGAAAAGAGAAGAAAGAGGAGAGGAGACGGAGAAGAGGAGGAGGAGUAACAAAGGAGGAAGAAGAGGAAGAGGACUAGAAGAGCAAGUUCCAGUUCUCGGUGCGCCCCGUUCUGCAAGACACUCUCCUGUGGUCAGCCCUGGUCUGCAGAGGAUUCCCGCGCUGGAUCUCUGAAGGAUGCUGGCGCCCUCUCUGCAGCACAUUCCUGAUGCCCUUGCUGACACGUGUCCUCUGGGCCCUCUCCUGAAACCUGAUUCUCCGGGGUGUCUUCUGGCCUCACCUCUUCUGUCCAGUUCCAGCAAGCUCACUUUGCUUAGCCUUUGAAUCCCUUCCUUCACUGUCUGCCAUGACAGUUCAGGCCUUUCACCGUCACUCAGGCCUGGACCAUCACUGUUGCCCAUCCCAUGCCAUCAACAGGUUUGCCCCAUCCCUUCGGCUCCCUACCAGGGCAUUCAGUUGUGUUGAGCAGCAGAGUGUCUCCAAGUCCCCACUGGUUGAGCUGCAUCCGGGUCCCAUCCCACAGGGACCCCCUGGCCGCUGCAGAUGCAUGCUGAUCCUGCAGCUCCUCGAGGGUGUCAUCGCUUUCCCCCUUCCCAGACCCAGCACACCCUGCCUGCAUGGCGCUGCGCUGCACCUUCACUCUGGUCACGGGUCUGGCAGUCAGCUCACCAAUUCCUCCUGCUUCCCUGGGACUUGCCGGCUUUUAGCACUGCAAUUCACUCAGCAAACUGGGACUGUUGGUCACCCUACCUGGCAGCCAGUGAUAAGGUGAGGGCCACUCCUGGGAGGGAGGACACCUGUGGGGAAAAUUCUUGUGUUAUUUAUUUCUCCUUCGGGAUAGGGUGCCUGCAGCGCUUCAUGGGAGGGGGUGGGCUGAUGCUGCGGGCUCAGAAGUUUCAAGGGCAUCUGGGGAGACCAGAUAUUCAGAGACCUUCUAGAUGUGCCUGUUCCAUGUAUCAGGGACGCAGGUUUUCCCAACAGGGCUGGUGUCAUUGGCAUGACAGACCUGCCUUGGCUGAGCGUUCACCUGUCUUUGGAGUUCAGCCACCUUAGCAAGUCCUGGGUUUGUUCUUCAGACUUUGCUGCUCGCCCAUUGCCUGGAUCGGGGGCUACUUUGUAAACCACCAGGAAGACUCCAGUGUUUCUGGUUAAUUUUUAGAUGUUUGUUAAUUGCUCUUGGUCUCUCAUUAAUCCCCUGUGGGUCAUCCAGGAAACAUACUCACCACUGUCUGUUCUCUGAGUUUUCAUUUCCAGGCAUCCGCCCUGCCUGGAUCUCCUCACCUGCCAGGAACUUCCUCUCCACAAGCCGGCCAUCCCAGCAAAAGUUCUAACACCAAAGGUCUGGCAACUAGCCUGCCAUCUUGUGCCUGGAGCCGCCUGCGUGCCACCUACUCCCGAAGAUGGGAACCUUGUUGCCAGUUGGGCAGAUGCGGGGCAAUCCUGUACCAAGACCCCAUUUUACCACCUGCUUUCUCAGACCACUCUGGAACCCACUGUCUCAGAUUGUGUCCUCCAGGAAGCAGACCAUGAGAGGGAGUUGGCAGGGCCAAAGAUUUACUGGGGCUAACUAACACUCAGGAAAGGGAUAGGAAGGAAACAGGGCUGGAGAGCAGGUUGAGCCCGACCUGACAGUCUCGAGCAGCCCAACAGGGAGGUGUGGAGCAAGGGUUGCCCACUAGAGGGGCCUGCAUUGGGUACGGGUGAUGGGGUCCACAUGGUACCUGGCAUAUAGCAGGCUGUGCAAUCCAUAUUAACUGACUGGAUAAAUUAAUGCCCAGAAAAGGUGCCCUGGAGAAUGGGUGUGUGCUGAACACAAUAGGGAAGGGCCCAGCAUCUGCCUUGGCAUAGGCAGAACUGUGCUGUGCCCUGCAACAGGCCACCUGAGAGCUGCUUUGAUCUUGUGUGUACAUUAGAUGACUGCCAGGGGCAUGAAGGGGAUGUGCUUCCAGGGCAUUUGCUGGCAGGGCGUCUCGUGAUCUCUUGGUAUUGGUGUGAGCACAGCCUGGCAGGAGAGGGCAGAUCUCCAUGCAAAGUAUGUCAGAAAGCAGAUGGAAGCCAGGCCCCCUCCUGAAAGAGGCUCCUUGAAGGCUCCUGGGACCACAUUAUCAUUCUCUUCACUCGAGAGAUGAGGACACUGAAAUUCAGAGAGGGGAAGUGAUUUGCCUCAGCUUGUACUAAAGAAACAUUUCAACAGAGAACCCAGUGGAAAUUAUGACAUGUUAUCUUCUCAGAGUCCUGAACUCCCAUCCCUACCUCAGAAGAGACUCCUCUGUUCACAGAAGCUAAAGGCAGUUCCUUCCCAAUGGCAACUAUGUUUGGAUGUUGGAUCUACACUUUCUCAAGCACUGUGAUCUUCAAAUCAAAGGAGAUUUCUCCCAUUAUAUACUUCUUAUGAUCAACAAAUUCCAUCAUCUCCCCACUAAGAGAAAGUACUCCAAGAUGAUAGAAUGAUUUUAAAGUUAUGGGACUACAACAGCAGCCACAGGAACCUUGAACUGCCAUCCAGGGCCAUGCAGCAAACAAGCAACAGGGAAAUAUCCCACUAUGCAAUCCUAUUUUGAGAUGAUAUUUAGGAUGAGAGAACAUGCAUUAGUUACCUACCAGCUUGACAGGAAUGGAUUUCCAAAUCUGACACACCAUAGCCUGAAUUCUCACCAGUUUGCUCCUGGAAAGGCCCGCUCAUGCAGCAUGAGCCCCUGCCACUCUUCUAAAUAAGCUUCCAGGCAUUACCUGCAUGCUGUGUUCCUGUGGUGGGAUGGCAGUAAUCUCUGCUAAGAUAAACGGGAGCUUCUGUGGAUAAAGCAUAAACGCAGUGAAGUGUGUGUGGCUGGAAGAUUUAAUGCCUCUACAGUGCUUAGAUACAAGUUGAGCUUGGAAUUCCAGAGGUAGAGCACUGCUGAUUGGAGACAUAUUAAGUAAAAUGUACUGUGGAAAUGAGAUAAAACCUUUAUUCUUGCUAAUGAUUGUCAUUGUAUGUAUUCAGGUGUCCAACAAAGGAUUUUAGAAUAAAGUGUGCCUUUAAAGUUUCCCACCUUCUUAAAGCUCCCAAUGAAUUGCAAAGGGCCUGUUUGGAAUGGACUGUAUUAAAUCUACUUCAAAUGAAAACCUUUACACUGAGUGAAAUAUGGUUCAACAAUUCUUAACACAAGGCCUUUACACUUGUGUAGCCCAUUUUGGUUUGGCCUAUCUUGUCACUAGAAUGCUGUCUGAGCUUGGAUUAUUUAUGCCCUAAGAUUUACUUAAAAUUGAAGGGAGUAUUUCCAUUCAUCAACACUAGUUUUGAUAGAUGCUUAAAAGGUGCAGUGAGGUUGAUGAUCCUGAAUACACAAAUUAUUGAUCACCACAUCAAGUUGGAUUUCCCUAAAGAUGUAUGGCUUUCUGACCUUGUGAUUUACACUAAUGAUUAUGUCUUAAUAAAAGUAAUAAAGCUAAAUACUUUAUACGUGAUCUAAGGAGUGAGAUUAGAAAGGAAGCAAGAGGAGAGACAUACUGUGUUGAACUGACCUUGCUAAGGCAGAAGAAAUGGCAUUUUAUGGUGUUUUUUUCUUUCCUUCACUUCUCUGUUUUACUUCUUCCGCUUUUUAUCUCUUAAUUUGAAAGAAACUCUUGGGAAUAUCUCUUCUCCUGCAGACAAAGACAUCAUGAGCUCCCCCAUCCAUACCCUAGAAC